AGUAGUUGUAGAGUCAUGUGUAUCCAACAUUUUUCAAUUAUUUCUAUCUUUCUUGGUGCAAAUUUUAGUCCUAUAGACAAGAACUUGUGUUGUGUCCAUUCGCUCUUUCUUUCUUUUAAAUAUGUAAGUAAAUUUUUACAAGUAGACCAUUAAAAUGGAAAGUAGGGUAGAUCUAGAAUUCUCAUAUAUUCCACUAUUAGAAUUUGCAUUGUGAUAAUAUUUGGGCUAAUGGUUUAUCAUGUUUCAUGAUUUUCUACAGGGAAAAGUAAGUUGCCGGCAGCGCUUUAUUGUAUAGGGCUUGGGGCAGAGUAGGUACCCUCCUGAUGGUGGCUAUUGUUCUCAUCAUCUAUUGUCGCAGGAACAAAAAAUACAAUGCGACGUGGUCUUGGAUAUCUCGAUACACUUCUCAUACAUCUUCAAUGAAUGAUAUUGAAAAGGAAGCAAGCUGCUAUGGAGUCCAAACUUUCUGCUAUAACGAACUCCAAAAAGCCACCAACAAUUUUGAUUCCAAGAAAGAAAUUGGAGAUGGAGGAUUUGGCACUGUAUACCUAGGAAAACUUCGAGAUGGGAGUGUAGUUGCAAUGAAACGAUUAUACGAUCACAAUUUCAAAACAGUGGAACAAUUCAUGAAUGAAAUAGAGAUCCUCACCCGCCUUCGCCACCUAAACCUCGUCUCCCUCUACGGAUGCACCUCCCGACACUGCCAUGAGCUCCUCCUCGUUUAUAAAUACAUCCCCAACGGUACUGUAGCCAAUCACCUCCAUAGCGACCGUACAAAAUCCGGUUCCCUCUAGGAAUGGCAAUUUGAACCCGGCCCGACGGGGACCCGACCCCCU
This is a non-coding RNA of Camellia sinensis, 836 nucleotides long. The record is from RefSeq and is a predicted model, not a curated record. NCBI's taxonomy places the organism in Eukaryota, Viridiplantae, Streptophyta, Magnoliopsida, Ericales, Theaceae.